UUUGCAUCGCACUUCAACUAAAGUGGCAGUUUCCCGUUCCUUUCUAAAGAUACCUUCCCCAUGUGUGGGAUUUUAUAGCUGAAAGAACCCCUACAUUUCAGUUUUUCAGUCAUACACUGCUGUAAAGUUAGAAAUAUAUGAUUCGACUUAAUGGACGGGAACUCAUCAUAUGCCUUGUCAACCACAUUGAUUAAAUCAUCAAUUGUUUUAGGAGCCUCCUGGUGCUGUUGUG
Molecule: long non-coding RNA, 232 nt
Filed under: Daucus carota (carrot)
Lineage: Eukaryota; Viridiplantae; Streptophyta; Magnoliopsida; Apiales; Apiaceae
Description: long non-coding RNA (DCAR_LNC004079)
Source: RNAcentral